This 486-nucleotide ribosomal RNA is filed under the name uncultured bacterium. Its description in RNAcentral is "partial 16S ribosomal RNA". It matches the Rfam family "Bacterial small subunit ribosomal RNA", at positions 28 to 507 of the family's 1533-position model. The record is from RNAcentral.
GUUGAACGCUAGCGGCAGGCUUAACACAUGCAAGUCGAGGGGCAGCGCGGGAUAGCAAUAUCCUGGCGGCGACCGGCGGAAGGGUGCGUAACGCGUGAGCGACAUGCCCGUUGCCCGGGGACAACCGGUGGAAACGCCGACUAAUCCCCGAUGGGAUAUUGUGCCGCAUGGCACGAUAUUGAAAGUUACGGCGGCGACGGAUUGGCUCGCGUCCGAUUAGCUUGUUGGCGGGGUAACGGCCCACCAAGGCUGCGAUCGGUAGGGGUUCUGAGAGGAAGGCCCCCCACAAUGGGACUGAGACACGGCCCAUACUCCUACGGGAGGCAGCAGUGAGGAAUAUUGGUCAAUGGGCGGAAGCCUGAACCAGCCAUGCCGCGUGCGGGAAGGAGGCCCUAUGGGCUGUGAACCGCUUUUGCCUGGGGGCAAUAAGGGCGUCGCGCACGUCCGAUGAGAGUACCAGGCGAAUAAGCAUCGGCUAACUCCGUG